GGCUCGGUAGCUUAGUUGGUAAAGCGCUCGUCUAGCAUACAAGAGUUCUGAGUUCAAAUCCCAGCCGAGCAC
This is a non-coding RNA of Aedes aegypti (yellow fever mosquito), 72 nucleotides long. The record is from Rfam. Lineage: Eukaryota; Metazoa; Arthropoda; Insecta; Diptera; Culicidae.